This 71-nucleotide transfer RNA is filed under the name Haemodracon trachyrhinus. Its description in RNAcentral is "tRNA-Thr". It matches the Rfam family "tRNA". From Rfam's summary of the family: Transfer RNA (tRNA) molecules are approximately 80 nucleotides in length. Their secondary structure includes four short double-helical elements and three loops (D, anti-codon, and T loops). The record is from RNAcentral. Lineage: Eukaryota; Metazoa; Chordata; Lepidosauria; Squamata; Phyllodactylidae.
GUCUUUGUAGCUUAAACUAAAGCAUCGGCCUUGUAAACCGAAAAUGGGACCGCCACAACACCCCUAAGACA